Molecule: long non-coding RNA, 1374 nt
Organism: Armigeres subalbatus
Lineage: Eukaryota; Metazoa; Arthropoda; Insecta; Diptera; Culicidae
Exons: 5
Source: RefSeq, a predicted model, not a curated record
GCGAGAAAAAACAUGUCGUUGAAAAUUGUUAACUGGCAUUGAGUUUUUUUGUGCAAAAAAAGUGACCGAGCUACCGCGAAUUGUGUCGUAAAAUGGAAGUGUUCAACAGGAGCGACCCUGAGGAAGUUGAAUAAAAAGAUUGAAAGUGCCAAAUUAAGUUUGUACUCGUUCUUACGUUCGAAGCUUCAAUCAGUGAUCAACUAGUGUCGUUGUAGAUCCUGGUUGAGUUGACGGGAUUGUUUUUUUUGCCUAAAAUGUUGAAAAUCUUUUAACGUGUAUAUUGAGCUAGUGGUUCUCCUGCGAAGCCAGAAAAUAUUGUUAUGCUCUGUUGGCUCAAGCUAAAAGUGAUAAAAGAUUUAACAAUUCAAAUCCUGGAAUUGUCAUUUAGCAGCGGAUAGUGUGUCGUCUUCGUUGGAUUAUUGAUACGAAUUCUCUUCAGUUUUUCAGCCCUUCGCCUCCGCCCAAGCUACCGCUGCAUUCAAUACUAGAUGGGAACCCAGUAAAUGGUGUAUGGCACAGAUGCAUGAAUCACGAGCUGUCUCAGGUGUUCAAAGAAAAUAUUGUGAAUCAAAUAAAAUAGGCCAUACGAGUGCGAAUGUUGGAAGAAUGAAUAGUGAAUAUUCAACAGAGAACCGGGUAGAGGCCGGCGACUUCGUGGAAGACCAUGGACACGCUGGCUGCAUGAGGUGGAAUCGGACCUGGGACUGGAGGAACAUCGCCCAAGACAGUCGAUGGUGGAGGAGCUCUACAAUACGAUAGGCAUAAGUGUAUCGACGGUGUAGCCAACCAGGUGUCUAGAUCAUUUUGUACCGCUACCAUCAGAUCAUGUAAAAAAUACCUACACAAACUUCAGGAGCGUUUUUCAACUAAUGGUCGACUUGAUAUUAUCAUGGUUACUUCAAGAUUCUUCUGUAAUUGUUGACUUCAACUAUGUCGAAUGAACACGGUGAGGGCGUCGUUGAAGUCUAUGGCCCGAUGUCAUUAUCCUACAAGAUUACAAACAGAUCAGUAGAAAACAUUUCCAACCAAAUGGACAAAUGCAUUUAAUAUUACUGCUAACGAAGCAAAAAUGUAUCACUUGUGGUUUAUAUUUUAAAUAUUAUUAAAUUUAAAAAAAAAAGGAGAAAAAGGUGCAAGUGUAGUUAUACGAACAAAGUUAUUUUCAUGAAUUGCAACACGACGAAGAUAACUGAAAUUCAGAUAACCUCGAGGUGUAAAAUUAAAAAAAAAAAAAAGGGCUAAAUAUUCAAAUUUAUCUGUAAAAUGUUUCUAACCAAAUAUUCACAAUAAAUAAAUUGUUAAAUAGAUACAUAAAAUGUGUUUCGUUUUUCUUAGCCUGGUUUGUUUGCUUACCUUCAAAAUAAAUACGGGAAA